This 45-nucleotide non-coding RNA is filed under the name Schistosoma margrebowiei. Lineage: Eukaryota; Metazoa; Platyhelminthes; Trematoda; Strigeidida; Schistosomatidae. The record is from RNAcentral.
AUCCAGCUGAUGAGUCUCAAGUAGGACGAAACGCAUUUCCUGGAU